CCUACGGGACGCAGCAGUGGGGGAUAUUGCACAAUGGGGGAAACCCUGAUGCAGCGACGCCGCGUGUGGGAAGACGGUCCUCUGGAUUUUAAACCACUGUCCCCAGGGACGAAGAUGACGGUACCUGGGGAGGAAGCUCCGGCUAACCACGCGCCAGAAGCCGCGGUAAAACGUAGGGAGCAAGCGUUGUCCGGAAUUACUGGGUGUAAAGGGAGCGUAGGCGGGAUGGCAAGAUGGGUGUUAAAUCUACCGUCUCAACUGGUAGUCGCACUCAAAACUGCUAGUCUUGAGUGAAGUAGAGGCAGGCGGAAUUCCGAGUGUAGCGGUGAAAUGCGUAGAUAUCAGGAGGAACACCAGUGGCGAAGGCGGCCUGCUGGGCUUUUACUGACGCUGAGGCUCGAAAGUGUGGGGAGCAAACAGGAUUAGAUACCCGAGUAGUC
RNAcentral lists this ribosomal RNA (440 nucleotides) under uncultured bacterium. RNAcentral describes it as "partial 16S ribosomal RNA". It matches the Rfam family "Bacterial small subunit ribosomal RNA", at positions 338 to 795 of the family's 1533-position model. The record is from RNAcentral.